Micropterus salmoides (largemouth bass) is the source of this 1063-nucleotide long non-coding RNA. RefSeq lists it as uncharacterized. NCBI's taxonomy places the organism in Eukaryota, Metazoa, Chordata, Actinopteri, Centrarchiformes, Centrarchidae. The transcript is spliced from 7 exons. The record is from RefSeq and is a predicted model, not a curated record.
UUCAGACUGUCAGUCAAUUUUGGAAGCCUGAAGUGGGUUCAUUUUAAGUUUCCAUAUGUUAAGAUAUGUUCAGUGUUGCUGCUGUGGAAGUGUUGUGGUUGACUUUUUAUUGAUGCAGGUCUAAUCAUUCUUUAAGAGGUUCUCUAGACCAUGCGACUUUUUAAGUUCCUACCAUCUUUGAUGGGCUUGUAAGUUAGCAAAUGGGUGGACGUUAUGAUGCAGUGAGCUGACCAAUCAGCUGCCAGCUAUGUUCCGUUACAAUUACGCCUCUCGGUCUCUGCACCUUCUUUUGGCGCCUGUACCUGAGCGUAGGAGGCUGCGUUUUCCCCUCGAGAGUAAAUGAGAGCUGUGCCUGAAUCCACUGUUGUCACGGAGCUAAAGGCGGUGAAUUCUGCUAAAAUGGUCAGGUUUUGGUAAAGAGUUGGAAGCCUUGUGCAGCUGAGAUCCAUUCCACGGAGUGAUGCCAAUCUACACGUUCCAGACGUUUUUACAGAGCUUUGUGGAUUCCCAGUCUAGGUGGCUGGGUGGCGAGCCAACCGUGUUUGUGACUCUGACUUUAGACGGAUUGCCAGGAUCUUCCUCAUCUUCAUGGUGGUAGGACAAACACUAACACAAACUUAAAAGGGCCCCAACGGUGAGAAAUGAACUCUUGUCAAUAAAGGCAAGUGGAACUAAGGAUGAACUGAGCUCAACAAAGUUAAAAGGAAAGUUUUUUUUGUGCGCACUUUAUUAUUUUAGUUUGUUAUUUUUCAUACCUGCUUUCUUAUGUAUGUACCAUCCCUGUGUAUUUAAUACACUUAAUGCAAACUGUCAUUCGGGUGUGGUAUUCUUUUUAUUGACAUUCAAUUCUCAGGCUCUUAACAAUUUAGUGACUUCUGAUUCUGGUCCACAUUGAUGAUAAGACUACUUUAGACUAUUACACCUAUGUACAUUAUUACUACCUCGUGAUAAGGGUUACACCAUUCUUUCUCACCCUUCUCUGUCCUUUUUACUUGUGUCCUGUUUUUCAGGGUCCCAUCAUAAUUUCUUAAGAAGCUGCCAUGUUAAAAAAAAUAUUUUGUGC